CACUAUAGUGGCUUUUUGUGCUUGGUGACUCAUAGUGGAAACUCCAGUUCACAAAAGAAGGUAUUAGAGAAAGGAUAAUUCUCUCUCUCUCUUAUUUUCAUAUUUUACUUAAAAAUUUAGACUAGAUAUGAUUUCACAGGAAGAACAUAUUCAGUAUAGCAGAAAUAGAAGAGGUUUGGAGACAGUCAUUCAUUGAUGACUUGGAGUCAAAAAUACUGCUUUUGCUUUAAUCUCUACUCCAUGGUCAUAUAGGUGGGCUUUAUCCUCCUAUAUAUAAAAUAGUUAAAGACAAUUCCUGCUUCAAAUACUGUGAGGCUCAAAUGAGAUAUGUGAAAUAUUUUGUAAAAUAUUAUACAGUGCCGGAUUUCUUUAUCAUUAUAAUGGGACAUGAUCUUGUCUAGAGUAUAUGAAGUGAUUGUGGGUUAAAGCAUAUAAUUUUUCUCUUUCUAAUGUGCUAUAUAUUCUGUGGUUGUACAGGUGUGUUAUGUGGCUAAAUGCCACUUGCUUAGAUACUUUCGGCUUUUGCAGACCGAGUUGCCCUCCUAAGAAACCAUCCAAUGACAGGCGCCGUCUCAGCAGUGUCUGGGUCUACGAUGCCAAGAAAGCUUAUGGCAGUAAAUAAGAUGGCAGCUGUGACAGUCCUGACAGCUGGCUGGAGCUCAGGGUGGCAGGCUGAACCGGACUGUGAGCAGUUGGAGCAGCAGUGAGGUAUGACCACCAUUACUGGUUGGCAGAUGUCAGUUUCCACACUACUAGUUACUACAUGAUGUGACGGACACACUCACAUCAUGAAACAGGCAGACAGAACUUUAAACAAACUCUGGGGACCUAGCAUGUUCUAUACCAAACUUGGGGUUCAGAAAAAAAAUUAAAAAUCGUCGUCAAAACAUAAAUUCUUUGCCUUUGUAGUCCUUGUGCAAUUGGAGAAGAGUUUUACGAAGUAGCAAUGGUAGAGAAUUGAGUCUUCCACACAAGAGCUGGAAUCAAUGAAAAGCAAAACUGAUUUCAAAGAAAGGUCUAGUAUGUUGGCUGCCUUGAGAAGAGGUACUGAGCCUUCAAGCCACUCUGAAAUUCUAGGAUUUCUGAUAUGCACUGCCCAACACAGCCUUUGUCAAGAAUGGCAGCUUUUGCUUGGUUCUAUCUCCAAAUAAAGCCAAGAUUUCUAAUAUAAGGUAAAAAUUUUAAAAAGUACAAAAUAAAUGAGUAUUUACUAUAGGCCA
Molecule: long non-coding RNA, 1220 nt
Filed under: Felis catus (domestic cat)
Lineage: Eukaryota; Metazoa; Chordata; Mammalia; Carnivora; Felidae
Description: lncRNA (ENSFCAG00000045687.2)
Source: RNAcentral